GCCGGGGUGCCCGAGCGGACCAAGGGGACGGGCUGGAGACCCGUUCCCCCGUCAAGGGGGGCGCGGGUUCGAAUCCCGCCCCCGGCGCCA
RNAcentral lists this transfer RNA (90 nucleotides) under Desulfurococcales archaeon. Its description in RNAcentral is "tRNA-Ser". It matches the Rfam family "tRNA". Rfam says of the family: Transfer RNA (tRNA) molecules are approximately 80 nucleotides in length. The record is from RNAcentral. Lineage: Archaea; Thermoproteati; Thermoproteota; Thermoprotei; Desulfurococcales.